RNAcentral lists this ribosomal RNA (499 nucleotides) under uncultured bacterium. RNAcentral's name for it is "partial 16S ribosomal RNA". It matches the Rfam family "Bacterial small subunit ribosomal RNA", at positions 28 to 507 of the family's 1533-position model. The record is from RNAcentral.
GACGAACGCUGGCGGCGUGCCUAAUACAUGCAAGUCGAGCGAAGUGUUUCUGGUGCUUGCACUAGAAAAACUUAGCGGCGAACGGGUGAGGAACACGUAAAGAACCUGCCUCAUAGACUGGGACAACUAUUGGAAACGAUAGCUAAUACCGGAUAACAGUAUUUCUCGCAUGAGAGAUAUUUAAAAGUUGGUUAUGCUAACACUAUGAGAUGGCUUUGCGGUGCAUUAGCUAGUUGGUGGGGUAAAGGCCCACCAAGGCGACGAUGCAUAGCCGACCUGAGAGGGUGAUCGGCCACACUGGGACUGAGGCACGGCCCAGACUCCUACGGGAGGCAGCAGUAGGGAAUCUUCCGCAAUGGGCGAAAGCCUGACGGAGCAACGCCGCGUGAGUGAAGAAGGAUUUCGGUUCGUAAAGCUCUGUUGUUAGGGAAGAAUGGAUAUGUAGUAACUAUACAUGUAAGAGACGGUACCUAACCAGAAAGCCACGGCUAACUACGUG